AUACGGAGGGUCCAAGCGUUAUCCGGAAUCAUUGGGUUUAAAGGGUGCGCAGGCGGUUUAUUAAGUCAGUGGUGAAAUCUCGGGGCUCAACUCCGAAACUGCCAUUGAUACUGAUAAACUUGAGUUCAGUUGGAGUAGGCGGAAUGUGUAGUGUAGCGGUGAAAUGCUUAGAUAUUACACAGAACACCGAUAGCGAAGGCAGCUUACUAAACUGAUACUGACGCUGAGGCACGAAAGCGUGGGGAGUGAACAGGAUUAGAAACCCUUGUAGUCC
This 274-nucleotide ribosomal RNA is filed under the name uncultured bacterium. Its description in RNAcentral is "partial 16S ribosomal RNA". It matches the Rfam family "Bacterial small subunit ribosomal RNA", at positions 523 to 796 of the family's 1533-position model. The record is from RNAcentral.